This 800-nucleotide ribosomal RNA is filed under the name Staphylococcus sp. SQ64-1. RNAcentral's name for it is "bacterial SSU rRNA". It matches the Rfam family "Bacterial small subunit ribosomal RNA", at positions 75 to 857 of the family's 1533-position model. Lineage: Bacteria; Bacillati; Bacillota; Bacilli; Caryophanales; Staphylococcaceae. The record is from RNAcentral.
GGAGCUUGCUCCUUUGACGUUAGCGGCGGACGGGUGAGUAACACGUGGGUAACCUACCUAUAAGACUGGGAUAACUUCGGGAAACCGGAGCUAAUACCGGAUAACAUUUGGAACCGCAUGGUUCUAAAGUGAAAGAUGGUUUUGCUAUCACUUAUAGAUGGACCCGCGCCGUAUUAGCUAGUUGGUAAGGUAACGGCUUACCAAGGCGACGAUACGUAGCCGACCUGAGAGGGUGAUCGGCCACACUGGAACUGAGACACGGUCCAGACUCCUACGGGAGGCAGCAGUAGGGAAUCUUCCGCAAUGGGCGAAAGCCUGACGGAGCAACGCCGCGUGAGUGAUGAAGGGUUUCGGCUCGUAAAACUCUGUUAUUAGGGAAGAACAAAUGUGUAAGUAACUGUGCACAUCUUGACGGUACCUAAUCAGAAAGCCACGGCUAACUACGUGCCAGCAGCCGCGGUAAUACGUAGGUGGCAAGCGUUAUCCGGAAUUAUUGGGCGUAAAGCGCGCGUAGGCGGUUUCUUAAGUCUGAUGUGAAAGCCCACGGCUCAACCGUGGAGGGUCAUUGGAAACUGGGAAACUUGAGUGCAGAAGAGGAAAGUGGAAUUCCAUGUGUAGCGGUGAAAUGCGCAGAGAUAUGGAGGAACACCAGUGGCGAAGGCGACUUUCUGGUCUGUAACUGACGCUGAUGUGCGAAAGCGUGGGGAUCAAACAGGAUUAGAUACCCUGGUAGUCCACGCCGUAAACGAUGAGUGCUAAGUGUUUAGGGGGGUUUCCGCCCCUUAGUGCUGCAGCUAACG